This 610-nucleotide ribosomal RNA is filed under the name uncultured bacterium. RNAcentral describes it as "bacterial SSU rRNA". It matches the Rfam family "Bacterial small subunit ribosomal RNA", at positions 338 to 944 of the family's 1533-position model. The record is from RNAcentral.
CCUACGGGAGGCAGCAGUAAGGAAUAUUGGUCAAUGGACGAAAGUCUGAACCAGCCAUGCCGCGUGAAGGAUUGAGGCCCUCUGGGUUGUAAACUUCUUUUAUCUGGGACGAAAAAAGGGUAUUCUUACUCACUUGACGGUACCAGAGGAAUAAGCACCGGCUAACUCCGUGCCAGCAGCCGCGGUAAUACGGAGGGUGCAAGCGUUAUCCGGAUUUACUGGGUUUAAAGGGUGCGUAGGUGGGCUUGUAAGUCAGUGGUGAAAUCUCCGGGCUUAACCCGGAAACUGCCAUUGAUACUAUAGGUCUUGAAUUAUCUGGAGGUAAGCGGAAUAUGUCAUGUAGCGGUGAAAUGCUUAGAUAUGACAUAGAACAUCAAUUGCGAAGGCAGCUUACUACGGAUACAUUGACACUGAGGCACGAAAGCGUGGGGAUCAAACAGGAUUAGAUACCCUGGUAGUCCACGCCCUAAACGAUGGAUACUCGACAUCAGCGAUACACUGUUGGUGUCUGAGCGAAAGCAUUAAGUAUCCACCUGGGAAGUACGAUCGCAAGAUUGAAACCUNAAAUGAAUUGACGNNGAGAGAGCGACGACGACGACGAGGGAGGAGG